AUAAGACGUUUUGACAUUUCU
Molecule: microRNA, 21 nt
Filed under: Zea mays
Lineage: Eukaryota; Viridiplantae; Streptophyta; Magnoliopsida; Poales; Poaceae
Description: microRNA miR-3043b
Source: RNAcentral